This 459-nucleotide ribosomal RNA is filed under the name uncultured bacterium. RNAcentral's name for it is "bacterial SSU rRNA". It matches the Rfam family "Bacterial small subunit ribosomal RNA", at positions 34 to 507 of the family's 1533-position model. The record is from RNAcentral.
CGCUGGCGGCGUGCUUAACACAUGCAAGUCGAACGGUGAACCAGAGCUUGCUCUGGGGAUCAGUGGCGAACGGGUGAGUAACACGUGGGCAACCUGCCCCAGACUCUGGGAUAACCUCGGGAAACCGAUGCUAAUACCGGAUACGACCACUUCGGACAUCCGACGGUGGUGGAAAGUUUUUCGGUCUGGGAUGGGCCCGCGGCCUAUCAGCUAGUUGGUGGGGUAAUGGCCUACCAAGGCGACGACGGGUAGUCGGCCUGAGAGGGCGACCGGCCACACUGGAACUGAGACACGGUCCAGAGUCCUACGGGAGGCAGCAGUGGGAAUAUUGCACAAUGGGCGAAAGCCUGAUGCAGCGACGCCGCGUGAGGGACGACGGCCUUCGGGUUGUAAACCUCUUUCAGCAGGGACGAAGCGAAAGUGACUGUACCUGCAGAAGAAGCACCGGCUAACUACGUG